AUUCCAGCUCCAAUAGCGUAUAUUAAAGUUGUUGCAGUUAAAACGCUCGUAGUCGGAUUUCGGGGCCUGCCUGCCGGUCUGCCGAUGGGUAUGCACUGGCAGGCGCGUCCUUCCUUCCGGAGACUGUCCCUACUCUUAACUGAGCGGGGUCGGGAGACGGAUCGUUUACUUUGAAAAAAUCAGAGUGUUUCAAGCAGGCAGCUCGCUCUUGCAUGGAUUAGCAUGGGAUAAUGAAAUAGGACUUUGGUGCUAUUUUGUUGGUUUGCACACCAAGGUAAUGAUUAAUAGGGAUAGUUGGGGGUAUUCGUAUUUAAUUGUCAGAGGUGAAAUUCUUGGAUUUAUGAAAGACGAACUUCUGCGAAAGCAUUUACCAAAGAUGUUUUCAUUA
Molecule: ribosomal RNA, 388 nt
Filed under: Haptolina sp.
Lineage: Eukaryota; Haptophyta; Prymnesiales; Prymnesiaceae
Description: partial small subunit ribosomal RNA
Rfam family: Eukaryotic small subunit ribosomal RNA
Source: RNAcentral